AGGAAGUAAAAGUCGUAACAAGGUUUCCGUAGGUGAACCUGCGGAAGGAUCAUUAUCCAUCUCAAACCAGGUGCGGUCGCGGCCCCCGGGGGCUUGCUCCCGGGUGGUAGGGGUAACACCCUCACGCGCCGCCUGCCUGUACCCUCUUUUUACGAGCACCUUUCGUUCUCCUUCGGCGGGGCAACCUGCCGCUGGAACCAAAACAAAACCUUUUUUGCAUCUAGCAUUACCUGUUCUGAUACAAAUAAUCGUUACAACUUUCAACAAUGGAUCUCUUGGCUCUGGCAUCGAUGAAGAACGCAGCGAAAUGCGAUAAGUAGUGUGAAUUGCAGAAUUCAGUGAAUCAUCGAAUCUUUGAACGCACAUUGCGCCCCUUGGUAUUCCAUGGGGCAUGCCUGUUCGAGCGUCAUCUACACCCUCAAGCUCUGCUUGGUGUUGGGCGUCUGUCCCGCCUCUGCGCGCGGACUCGCCCCAAAUUCAUUGGCAGCGGUCUUUGCCUCCUCUCGCGCAGCACAAUUGCGUCUGCGGGGGGGCGUGGCCCGCGUCCACGAAGC
This 554-nucleotide unclassified non-coding RNA is filed under the name Paraphaeosphaeria neglecta. RNAcentral's name for it is "sequence contains 18S rRNA gene, ITS1, 5.8S rRNA gene, ITS2, 28S rRNA gene". The stretch from base 256 to 409 matches the Rfam family "5.8S ribosomal RNA". Lineage: Eukaryota; Fungi; Ascomycota; Dothideomycetes; Pleosporales; Didymosphaeriaceae. The record is from RNAcentral.